UAAUCAGCUUCCAAACGAUGACACCAUUG
This 29-nucleotide non-coding RNA is filed under the name Mus musculus (house mouse). The record is from RNAcentral. Lineage: Eukaryota; Metazoa; Chordata; Mammalia; Rodentia; Muridae.